UACGUAGGGUGCAAGCGUUGUCCGGAAUUAUUGGGCGUAAAGAGCUCGUAGGCGGUUUGUCACGUCGGGUGUGAAAGCCCACAGCUUAACUGUGGGUCUGCAUUCGAUACGGGCAGACUAGAGGCAGGUAGGGGAGAACGGAAUUCCCGGUGUAGCGGUGAAAUGCGCAGAUAUCGGGAGGAACACCGGUGGCGAAGGCGGUUCUCUGGGCCUGUACUGACGCUGAGGAGCGAAAGCGUGGGGAGCGAACAGG
Molecule: ribosomal RNA, 253 nt
Filed under: uncultured bacterium
Lineage: Bacteria
Description: partial 16S ribosomal RNA
Rfam family: Bacterial small subunit ribosomal RNA
Source: RNAcentral